Molecule: long non-coding RNA, 16278 nt
Filed under: Triticum aestivum (bread wheat)
Lineage: Eukaryota; Viridiplantae; Streptophyta; Magnoliopsida; Poales; Poaceae
Description: long non-coding RNA (TAES_LNC000439)
Rfam family: MIR1120/MIR1122 microRNA precursor family (bases 5428-5542)
Source: RNAcentral
GAAAAAAUAUUAAAGUUGAGAUAAAUACCUGGGCACAAUUUAUUAUUAAACCAGAGCACAGGAAUGCUCAUUUCAGUACAAGAUUAGACAGGAUCGCAAGCACAAGCCUGAACAAUCAACACGAGGAGACAUCACAAGAACACACACUCGUACAGGCACACAUCAGGGGGGACACACCUCGGCUUAUUUCGCGACGAACGAGCGCCAGAAACUAAGAUCAUGGCUUCAUCAGCGCAGCGACCUUCUGGACGGACGGCCUCGCCAACAGGUCAGUCCACCAGGCCUUCACAUGCGGGUACGCGUCGAACAGAGAUGCGUAGGGUGUAGCCGCCAAGCACAGGGUGACAGACACAUGGUUAAGGUCCGCAAGACUGAGGGAGUCUCCAGCCAGGUACUUGGACUUGCUCAGGUGCGCCUCGUACACUGCCAGCACGUUCUUGAUCUUAACAAGGUUGUCGUCAAUGACCUUCUGGUCAGUGGCUCCCCCAAGCAUAGGAUGGAUAAGGCACUCGAAGAGAAUGGGGCUCAGAGCGGCGGUGUACUGAUGGGCCUCCACCUCGAGCCACACAUCCACCAUUGCUGACUCCUUGAUGUCGCCCUCCUUCAACAGCUCUGGCUUGUUCUUGCGGCACGCAUACUUGCAAAUAGCACGUGAUUCUAAUGCGAAGAGAAAAAGAAAAUAGAACCAGAGUUAUGAUGAUUCUGAAGGGAGUAUGGUACUAUUUUAUUCCAUUUCAAUAAAUCGGUCUAAAACUAGUAAAAUGAUCAUUUCUAAACUUGAUUAGAUUUCAAAUUAGAACCCAUAAGCAUAGUAUAUGAUUGCUUGGGAAACCUUACCAUAACUCAUGUUUUUGUCUUCCGACGAAGCUUGUGGUUGGUAACUAUAUAAUUAUUACAUCAUCAUUCUAAUCUCAAGCUUCAAGCAUACGAGGGUAGUUGACGAAAACUCCAAAAAGGUAUAACUUGACUCCUAAUAUAAUGCCAGACGGCAGCUAACAAUUAGACAACAUUGUUUUUUUACUCAUGUGAUUUGUGAAAAAUACCUUCAAAGGUUUAUCAUUAAUCCAAAUGAAACUGUUUCUUUGUUUCUAGUAAAGGCUCAGGUACAAUUUAAGCCCAAGUGGAGAUGCUAGCUUUGUUAUACUACAAGGCAACAACAUUAACAGCAAAACAAACAACCACAACAACAAUAAUGCAAAAGCAUCAUGACCCGUUAUAGUUCUGUUUAUGAGGGGUAGAAAAGAGAGAACGUCUCAAGAGGUAGCAUCAUACCGAAGACGUACAAGUCACCAUCCUGCAAAGCUGGCACCUGGCCAAAGGGCUGCAGAGAACAACAUGAAGACAGUGAGUUUUAUCAUAUGUCACACCUCUAAAAACAGAAACCACAUGUCACAGUUACUAUCACACUAAGAUUAGUCUCUCUAUGAGAUGCUGCUGUAGUGACUGUUUUAUGUUUUGCUGUCAACUUUCUGAGCAUUCACAUGUGCUUGGGACUCUUGGGUAAAUGGUGUAAGAUAGUUUGCUGAACCAAGGAUCGUCUGUUCCAUGAGCAACACAGGGAAGGCCUCAUACUGGAAGAGAAUAUGCCUCUUGCAAACCUUAACAUCCACCCUAUUAUUACCACACCUUACCUACCAUCAAGCAAAUCUGAUAGAUGUAUGUGGUGUAUUGAUAAGAAACAAGUCAAAGGAUAGGGAUGACUAACCUAUAAGAUCUACAAAAAAAUUAAAAAAUAAUCGAACUAGCAGAGGAUUAAAGGGCACAUCCAGAUCCAAUCUUUUGGUACAAAGUGACACAAGAGUAACAGGGUGGGUGCUGGCGUCGGUGCUGGGUGCAGGAAGUGCUUCGGAUUUGCUCACACUGUAUACUGCUUGAGAUUGGGAUUUGCUGCAAGAUUAAUUUGUCAAGGUACCUACGAACUAGCAGAGCACUAACACAUCUAGAACAAAUUUCCACACCGAAUCCAAAUCUUGUAUUUACGAGGUUUAGGGGAAGACGUAAAAUAACGCACUUGAUACAGUGAAGUAGGUGGCCGGUGGCGUGGGAAGCGUGGAUGUGGGGAAAAUAUGAUACUGUAUGAUUUUAUCCACACUGCAAGUGGCCUAAAGUCAAUUGACUAAAAGAUUGGGUAGCAGCGGAGGUACUAAUUAAGGUCACCACGCGGUCCACGCCCAAAUGGCUCGCCAAUCUGAGACGAGCUGCGGAAAAACUCAUGCCGUAUACUCGAAUGACUUGUAAAUAUCGAACCCCAGUCUCGAAUCGUGAUACUUUUUUCUUCUGAAAUUCGAAUCGAGAUACUAGAUUAUACGAGAGGGACAGCGACAUCUCUCCGGCCCCCGUUAAAAUAAAUAAACAGUGAUAGAGGCAUGGAAGCGACCCCUCGCCGGGAGUUGACUGACUUUUGUUCCGCCGAUCGCAGCAGGAGGACCGAACGAAUCGACAUCAUCCUCGUGAAAUUAGAGGCGAGCAGACGGCACAGGGCCGGACCAUCGACAGUCACGGAUGGUAAAUUCAAGGGGAGGGCGGCAGUUAGGGCAUGGGCACGUACGUUCCUGGCGAGGUGGUCGGGGCUCUUGUGCUCGCCGGUGCCGAAGUUGAUGGGGACGAGCUCGUACUCGACGCCGGCCUCCUCCAGCGCCGCCACGCACCUGGUGACGUUCCACGACAGGGUCGCGCCGUACAGCUUCACCGGAGCCAUCUCUUCUCACUCUGCAACGCACUCGAACCUUUUUUCUCUCUUCUUCUCGGUAGGUAAAGCCGCUGCGGAUGGGAUGGGAUGGAGAAGACCACGCUCGGGGUCUCGGCUAAAUAGGCGACGGAGGGUUUGCUCCCUUCCAACGGAGCAGGUGCGGUGCAGCCGUGGAGUGGGAGAGGGAGAGGGAGCGGGUUGGUGAGGUUAGGUGGAAGGUGCGGCUGGUCGAUGGCCCCCGCGCCUCUAGGUGCUUCCGUUUCUUCAACCAUUUCGAUUAGUGCUCCUGUUUCGAAAAAAGAAAUAGCAGUACUCCUCAAUUUUAUUUUAUUUUUGCACGAGCUUUUUUCUAGUACUCCACUCUAUUCUGUGUCUGUAUAGUUGGUUUUCACUUUUCAGCGACCGACCGACGCAAGUGAUGACGCUCGGUAGUGCGCCAGCGGCGCAUCGAGAUCCGCGCAUCGCCUUUCUCCAUCACUUUUAGUUUUUAUUGAUUGAUUAAUUUUGAGCUUCUUCCGAUGAAGCUUCGUCAGCACUUUUAGUUCGGCCGGAAAUUAAGUUUGUUUCGAACAAUCUCCGCUUGGUUUACUUCCUUUUUCUCUACGGGACGCCUGUGCACACUCUUUUUUUAUUUUUAAACACAGAACAAUCAAAGAUGCUUAUAUAUACAUAUAUCACGAUGUACACACGCACGAACACUCUAGAUGCACACCCUACCCCUAAGCUUCAAUGAGAUACUGAACCGACACACAAUCUUAAGAUGGACGAAGUUAUCGCAAACACCUCAUAGUGACAAAAACGUCUUCUUCCACUGAACGAAAUCGUUCGGAUUGGCUGCAAAACUAAUGCCCAAGCCUCACCUAAGGCUUGAACAAUGUGGUGGUUUAGAGCAUCUCUAGCGGAUCCCAUAUAAACUCGUCGGACCUUUUACAUGACCCGUGAAAAGUUUGGCCCGAGCUGAUCCUAUAAAAAAGGCCCGGCUCAUAAAACCAUGGCGUCUGCGCUAUAUUUACCGGAUCUGGCUGAUUUAGGGUUCCUAUACCGUAAAUCCUGAACCCACCUCCGCCGCAAAUUCUCUGUCUCCGGUGCCAAAUAUCUCUCUCUCUCUCUCGCUCUCUCUCUCUCUCUCGCUCUCUCUCUCUCUCUCUCGCUCUCUCUCUUCGGUGUUUUCCCCACGCACAGCCAUUCUUCAACCACCUCGAUGUCGCGCGCGUGGUGGCCGAGGGGGGAGUGGCGACUCGCUACCGCACAAGCGAGCCCGCCAUGACGACGAGGCUAGGACCCCUGUGGAGGAAUGGCGCCAUGUGCAGGCGAGAGAGCGUGGCGGCCUCUCCCGCAGCGGCGGCCGGAGGAGUGGAGGGAUUUCGAACGCCUCCACGACAUCAUUUGUUCGAUCACCAAGCACCUCCGCGAGGCGGAGCGCGAGUUUGCCGAGGCAGAGGAGCCGGUCACCGCCGGAGAAGAAGGUGCAUCCGCGAGGCGGAGCACAAGUUCGCCGAGGCGAAGGAGUCGGUCGCCGCUGGAGAAGAAGGCGCCGCCACGCGGCUCGAGGCGGCCAAGGAAGCCAAGAAGGAGUACGACCUUGCCUUUGUCCUCUCCAGCUCCGCAAUGGAAUAUCAUCUUCAUGUAAAGAAGGAUGAGUAGUUUAGAUUAUGUUUAAAGUUAGCGUGUUUAACUUUGUGCGAUGAACUAUGCUUAAAUUCCUGCGAAGUAUGGUGACGAAAACUAGCGCCCGGUCAGUGACCGGACGUGUCCGUUUUAAGCCCCUAUUUAUCCUUCCGCACAGCCAUACUUCUUAUAUUUCUUCUCAUAUGCCCGGUCACUUGUACGUGAUUGAUGGAGAUGAAGAGAGAGAAAAAAAAAAAAGAGAAAAGGUGGUCCGAGGUGGGACCACAUCCUAUGUGGCGGAAUGACCGGGCGCACCCAGGCGCGUCCGCGAGCCCUCAUAUCCUUUUCAUAUUUGAGAUGGAUAUGAUGGUUUGCGGACAGCCCGAGCAUAUAGAAAUGAUACGAGCGAUCCGAUGGGUCACAUUUUUUCAUUUCUUUUCUGUCCGAUCAAUAACCGGACGCAUCCCUGGAUGUACGAGUGAUGGUUUGAGGUGUCCAGCUAUAGACGCUCUUACGUCCUUCAGAAUAUCCGAACCUCGCUCCCGGCAUCGGACGUAGUUUCCUUGCAAAAGAGGAGAUUGAUUUAGAAGAGUACUGUGUGCACUCUGCAUUAAUUAAGGUCGGUGCAAACAACGUUGGAAGUCGUGAUGGGAACUAACUGCGUAGAAAAUCCUGGAUAACUCCGCAGUGAUGCAACGAAUUGUGCGUGUCAGCAGUGACCAGCGUUUGCUCUACUUGUCAACGGUUGCUGAUUGUGAUUGAGCAACCGGCCAAGGAGUAGUAGCUCAGAGUCAAAUAUCCACCAAAAUAUACAAGGACACACACGUAGUGCAGUUGACAAUGAAGCAAAAAACUCUUCCAAAAACACACUCGCAGAAAGUAAAGAAGAAAUCACGUGUAGACGUAUGGAGCGGGAGCACGUCUAGCGCACCGGGACAAGUCUUGGUUCUCUCGUAACUGGAGGCGAACAUCGUUAAGAAUCUUUUUCAUGAGCAGAGCUGCUCUGUGUUCCGCAUCAUAGGCGGUAACCCAAGUAUGAUUGAUUCUUCUUAUUUCUAUCAGCGCCUAGAAAAAGGGGCAAAGUGGAACACGAAUAUGGCUUUAUGUCGCCAAAAGCAUAUACUACUAAUCAUGUACUCCCUCCAUUCGGAAUUACUUGUCUCGAAAAUAGAUGCAUCUAGAACUAAAAUACGUCUAGAUACAUCCAUUUCUGCGACAAGUAAUUCCGAACGGAGGGAGUAACUGAAAAAAAAGUGACGAAAACGUAUGCUUGAAGCGCGAACAGAUCAGCUAGAGUGAUAAAUGCUUGAGAGUUGAAGUUGGUCGUUGCCCCAGGCAGGACAUCCUACAGUCAGAGCAUCUUCAGCCGUUCGGCCCUUCAGGGCGUCGAAAAAGAGCCGCCUGGGGCGAACCGGCGCUAGAUUGGCCCCUGGGGUCGACUUAGCUCCCAGCCACGNNNNNNNNNNNNNNNNNNNNNNNNNNNNNNNNNNNNNNNNNNNNNNNNNNNNNNNNNNNNNNNNNNNNNNNNNNNNNNNNNNNNNNNNNNNNNNNNNNNNNNNNNNNNNNNNNNNNNNNNNNNNNNNNNNNNNNNNNNNNNNNNNNNNNNNNNNNNNNNNNNNNNNNNNNNNNNNNNNNNNNNNNNNNNNNNNNNNNNNNNNNNNNNNNNNNNNNNNNNNNNNNNNNNNNNNNNNNNNNNNNNNNNNNNNNNNNNNNNNNNNNNNNNNNNNNNNNNNNNNNNNNNNNNNNNNNNNNNNNNNNNNNNNNNNNNNNNNNNNNNNNNNNNNNNNNNNNNNNNNNNNNNNNACUUGGUCAUUCCCGCUCACAAAAAACGCCCAGUCCGGCGAUCAGCGGCCCAGUUCGGCAAUCGGAUGAAAAGUUUGGCGUACAAAAAAAGAAAGGACGCACAGUUUACGAGGAGAUUGGUGGUGUCGGCCUCCGGCGUCGGCGGAGUCGGCGUGCGCGAGCUUGGUGGUGUCGGAGCUGCUUCUAUGCUGGGCGGCGUCGGCGCGGCUUCUGUGCUGCUGGGCGUCGUGGAGGCAUCAUCGCUCGGGCUUGGCGGCGUCGUCGGCGUGAGCGUGGGAGUUGGCGGCGCUGUCGACGGCAGUUGGUUCAGGAUGAGGCCGCGCUCCGCCAGGUACCACGCCUUAAGCUACUCGUCGUUGCUCUGGAGCAUGUCCGCCCCCGCCCAUUAGAAAAGCCAGGUCGGUGUCCUCUUCUUCGCGACGACGUUGGUCCGGAGUAGGUUGAUACGUCUCCAACGUAUCUAUAAUUUUUUAUUAUUCCAUGCUAUUAUAUUAUCUGUUUUGGAUGUUUAAUGGGCUUUAUUAUACACUUUUAUAUUAUUUUUGGGACUAACCUACUAAUCAAAGGCCCAGUGCAAAUUGUUGUUUUUUGCCUAUUUCAGUGUUCCGCUGAAAAGGAAUAUCAAACAAAAUCCAAAUGAAAUGAAACCUUCGGGAGAGUGAUUUUUGGAACAAACGCAAUCCAGGAGACUUGGAGUGGACGUCAAGAAAGAAACGAAGAGGCCACGAGGCAGGAGGGCGCGCCCCCACCCUCGUGGGCCCCUCGUGGCUCCCCUGACCGACUUCUUUCGCCUAUAUAUACUCAUAUACCCCGAAAACAUCCGAAAGCACCACGAAACCCUAUUUCCACCGCCGCAACCUUCUGUACCCGUGAGAUCCCAUCUUGGGGCCUUUUCCAGCGCUCCGCCGGAGGGGGAAUCGAUCACGGAGGGCUUCUACAUCAACACCAUAGCCUCUCCGAUGAUGUGUGAGUAGUUUACCACAGACCUUCGGGUCCAUAGUUAUUAGCUAGAUGGCUUCUUCUCUCUCUUUGGGUCUCAAUACAAAGUUCUACUCGAUUCUCUUGGAGAUCUAUUCGAUGUAAUUCUUUUUGCGGUGUGUUUGUCGAGAUCCGAUGAAUUGUGGGUUUAUGAUCAAGAUUAUCUAUGAACAAUAUUUGAUUCUUCUCUGAAUUCUUUUAUGUAUGAUUUGUUAUCUUUGCAAGUCUUUUCGAAUUAUCAAUUGGGUUUGGCCUACUAGAUUGAUCUUUCUUGCAAUGGGAGAAGUGCUUAGCUUUGGGUUCAAUCUUAUGGUGUCCUUUCCCAGUGACAGCAGGGGCAGCAAGGCACGUAUUGUAUUGUUGCCAUCGAGGAUAAAAAGAUAGGGUUUAUAUCAUAUUGCUUGAGUUUAUCCCUCUACAUCAUGUCAUCUUGCCUACCGCGUUACUCUGUUCUUAUGAACUUAAUACUCUAGAUGCAUGCUGGAUAGCGGUCGUUGUGUGGAGUAAUAGUAGUAGAUGCAGAAUCGUUUCGGUCUACUUGUCGUGGACGUGAUGCCUAUAUACACGAUCAUGACUAGAUAUUCUCAUAACUAUGCACUUUUCUAUCAAUUGCUCGACAGUAAUUUGUUCAACCACCGUAAUACUUAUGCUAUCUUAAGAGAAGCCACUAGUGAAACCUAUGGCCCCCGGGUCUAUUUCCAUCAUAUAAGUUUCCAAUCCAUUUUACUUUGCAAUCUUUACUUUCAAUCUAUAUCAUAAAAAAUACCAAAAAAUUUAUCUUAUUAUCUCUGUCAGAUCUCACUUUUACAAGUGGCCGUGAAGGGAUUGACAACCCCUUUAUCGCGUUGGUUGCAAGGUUCUUAUUUGUUUGUGUAGGUAUGAGGCGACUUGCGUGUAGUCUCCUACUGGAUUGAUACCUUGGUUUUCAAAAACUGAGGGAAAUACUUACGCUACUUUGCUGCAUCACCCUUUCCUCUUUAAAGGAAAACCACGCAGUGCUCAAGAGGUAGCAUAGGUCCAGCUUGACGGCGAUGUUCAUCAUCAACGCCGACCACCACGCCUCGGUCUUCUCUUCACGCAGGGCGCCCCGAGCCUGUGCGUUGGCUAGGCAAUGCUCGAUGGACUCCUGCACUCGCGCAGUAGCCGAGUCGGUGUGUUUCCCCUUCUUGGCCCCUUUGUUGCCUUCGGGGCGCCCGUCGCCCGCGCCCGGCGUCGGCGCGUCCGGCUUGUAGGUCUCCUUGGCCUUGGCGAGGGUGCGCCGGACAUCCGCCUGCUUCUCGCACUUCUCGAUCUGCUUGAAGACGUGGACGUACUUGAAGUCUUGGUCGCUGCUGUCCUGGCGAUACAUGGCGAACAUCCGCAACAACCGCGCCAAGGAACAAACAGUUGGCAGGCGUGCACGGCGAAAAGAAGUGGGAGACCGGCGUGCCAUACCUGAUCCUCAAUGCUGGCGCCGCUCUUCGGGCGAGCCGCGAUCUCCUCGAUGAUCCCAUGCCAUUUGUUGCACGCCGAAUGGAUGAGCCCCCAAUGGUUCGCCAUUGCCUUCGACCCGCGCUGCAUGUAGACGCCUUUGAAAUAGGGGUCGACGAGCUUGCGCUCGUCGAACUCGUCCUUAAUGCGCUCCCAAUACGUCUCGAUGCUCUGGUUUGUGCCGGUGAUCAGGUCGAGGCAGACGACUUUCCGCGCUUCGACGAGACACGCUUGUCCUUGGACGCCCACUUGAUGCGCGGCUCGCCGGUCCUGGCCGCCCCCUUCUUCUUCUUGCGUUUCCUCGCCGGAGCCGCCGCCGGCUCCUCCUCCUCCUACUACUACUCGUCCCGCUCCUCCUCGCCGUACUCGGGCUCGCCGUCCAUGUCGUCGUUGAGGUCCAUCGUGUCGUCCUGGGUAGUGAACUCGGGGGACGCGGUGGCGGCGGCCGAGUCUGCCAUGAUGAUGUCAUCCAUGUCGGCUUCGAUCGCGUCGGUGUCGCCGAGAUGCGACGUGGAAGCUUGUGAGAAGGGCAGCGCACCACGGCGGAGAGGGGGCGUCGGGAAGGACGCGUAGGCCGGUGGUGAGUAGGUGUAUGGAGGGUACUGCAUGCCAGCGAAGGCGGGCGAGGGCGUGCGCUGGGCCGGGUGACCAUGGGGGAGGUGAUGUUGGGGUUGAACCCACCGUGCGCGUCCCCGUCGGCGUAGCCCGGCGACGGUGUGCAGCCCCAGGGUUGCGGUGACGACGAGAAGCCGGCCGGAGAAUCGACGCUUUGCUGGCUCCAGGGCGCGUACUGGGCGUGGCCGCCGGGUGGAUUCAUCAUCCCCACGCAAGCCGCCUCGGCUUGUUCGGCCGAGCGCUCCGCCUGAUCCGUCACAGUCGCGAGCGUCGGGCUGUCCCGGGCCUUCUUGGCGUUGGCCCUGUUCCGCCGGCCGGUGGUGACAGCCUCCCGACGCUGAACUUCCGCCCUUCAGUCGGCGUUUGACAUGCCGGGGGCUUGGACGGCGGCACCCUCGGCUUCCUCUGCUUCGGUUGGGCGACGAUGGCGGUCGCAGCCGUCGCGGUGCGGGGGAGCACGUAAUUCUUUGGUGGCAUGGCGGCCGGCUGGGAGGGGAGGAGGAGGAGAUUGGCGGGAGGAAUGGAGAGAAUGAGAGGGAAGCAGGGGGGAAGCAGGAAGAAACGGCGGGAAAAGGCCCUCCUCUCGCUGACAGAGCGCCCCCACGCCCCUUUUCGCUUGUGCCGGCGCCCACAGACGCCCCCAGCGCGCCGGGUUCGGCUCGGGUGCGCCGGCUGUUAUUUCGGCAUAACCCGGCGAAAAACGGGCUCCUGGGGGUGCGACUGGGACGAUUUUCGCCCGCCGGCGCUAAAAAAUCGCCGGGGGGGCCUGUUGGGGGCGCGGCUGAAGAUGCUCUCAAGCUUGGAGUGAUGAUGAUUCACUUGCAAAUGAGCCCGCAAUGAACAUUAAAAUUCAAAAAACAAAUUCAAAACAUCCUGAAUUUUUGUUGGUGAACUUUGACAAAUGUUUGGAGUGUCUGUAAAGUUUCAUCAUCGAAUGACAUUCGUGCAAGUCAUGGAAAAUGACGAAAUCAGCACUCGAGAAUGCUUUUGAAAUAGCACUUUUGGAGCAUCAAUUUCUAUUUUUUUCACGGCUUCCACGAAUGUAAUUCCAUGAUGAAUUUUUGUGAGCAAUCAAAAUAUUUGUCAAAGUUCGCCACAAAGAAAUCAGAAUUUUUGAAAUUUGUGUUCAAUUAUUUUGGAUUUUACUGUUCACCCAAGUUCAGAAACACGCGUUCAUUCACUUGCAUAUAUUCUCCCAAAUUACCAUUUUCAAACUUAAGUAGCCCUCAAAAAACUUAUUCCCACAUCUGACCUCCUAAUGAUGCGCAGACUGUUUAGCAUGAUAUAUACACAUGGCCAUCCAAACGCUUUGGCACGACUUAAAUUCGUGUUGGCAGCCCGUUCGACGUGGCAAAGAGCAAAGAUGCCAAAUCGAUUGGCAUCGCUACGUGUAUUAGACAUGCUAAAUCGUUUGGUGUCACUAUGUGUAUUAUUCGUGCCAAACGGUUUGGUGCGACUUUGUGGGGAAAGCUUUGAUAAUAAGUUUUUCAAGGAUUAGCGAUGUUAAAUUUGAAAAAAGGGUCAUUUAGUAGAAAUUAUACAAUUCGUUUAUAAUAGUUUGAUUUUUUGCAAGUGACAAGUCAUGAUUUUUUGGUAGAAAAAAGUUGCAUUAUUCAGUCAUGAGGAUUACAAUCAGCGAUGCAUCUGUACUCAACAUUUUCAAGACCAGAGCUUAACCAAAUAGCUACACGACCACUAUGUCUAGCAUAGUUUGCUAAGAAAUGACUAAUAGCGUGCAUGGUGUACUGGUUGGUUCGUGUACAAGUCACGGGUACAUAUAAAAGAAAACAGCCUAUUUGCACAUAAACUCAAGUCUAGUCACCGAAACGAUGUAUUUUGCGAGUUAUAGCAUCAAAGUGGUGUGUGAAAACGUCGACCUGAAACGUUUUCCUACCCUAGCCGCCGCCAGGAGGCGACUAGGGAGGGGAUCCCUUUUUCCAUCGAUCUCCACUGCGAGGGCGCUGGCCCCCUCUCCCUCCGGCUGCUGCUCCGGCGGCAGGAGGGAGGGGGGACCCCGUUCCUCCGUUCUGUAGUUAGGAUUUGGAUUUGUAGGUCGUGGUGCGUCGUUGGGGUGGUGGGAGCGGCGCCCGGACGAAUAAAUCUGCCUCAACUUCACCCCCACACCGGCUGUGUCUUUCAUGGCGGCGUCUCGGAGUUGAUGGUAUCGUAUGUUUGUCGAUCCUUCUGAUCAGCGGCGUUAGGGUUCAUGGAUAGUGUCGGCGAGGCGGCGGCGGCGACUUCAUCAGGUUUGUCUCUCUUUCUGCUCUGUCCUCGUUGCUGCGGCGUUGUCUCCGACGUCAUGGUGGAGAAGGGAGGUUUUGUCAUCCAAGAGUACGCGCAGAGGGUUGUCUACGCAAGUGACGGCUGGAAGAUGGUGCAUCUUGUGCUGGGUCUGCGGUUGGAGGCUGAUAGUUCUGAUUUCCUUCUCCGACGCCGUAGUCGUGCGGGGGUGUCAGUUCUGAAGUUCGAUGACGUGUCCGGGGACACGUUGCCCCGAUCUGAUUCUUUCAAUGGCAAUGGUUUUGCUUCAGGCAAACUAUUUUGGAGGUUCGUAAAGCUGUUGAUCAGCGAUGGAGCCGCGUCGAGUUCAGGUGAAGAGGUGAUAUGUCUCCUUUUCCUUAGUGGAGAGGGACAUGCGCUGGUUUUUUGCAUAGGAUUAUCCUAUCUUUUCAGUCCAAUAAUAUCCAUGUUUACGUGGCUUGUAAGUGAAUCUUUAUUUUAUUAAUAAGACACGUAUUACUAGAAAAAAAGCAUCAAAGUGGUCAUCGAGCGCAUGUUCUAGUACCGCUAGUGUAUUCAUCUCUAAAAAUAAAGCUUGAGCAAUGUUGAGCUACAUACAACCAACAAGAAAAGAAAUUAGUCACCUACAUUCCUAUACAUACAAGACAUGAAGAAAAUAAUUGAUUAAUUUGAACGAACAGUCACCUAGGCCCCGUCAUUUGUACCACUUGGGUUCAAGCAUUUGACAUGUGUUCCCUAGUAUUGCGUGCAUCGAAGAACUCCCUGAUCUGCUUCCAGUAAGUGUUCAUUGGUCACUCGCUACCGAUUGCUAUCUUUGGAAAAUUUUAAAAAAAUUGGACGUGGGUUAGCAAAAUAUUGUAGUGGCAGGCUUCUUUAGACACCCGCCACAGGUAGGAAGAGAAGCAGUGGUGGGUGCCGUAAAAUACCCUCUACUGUUGUUUCUGUCGUAUAUGGCUCAUUUUGUGCAACUUUAGCUGUGGCGAUGAGAAAUAGUGCCCACCACUUCCGCGGCUUUAGCAGUGGUCGGCAACUAAUUUCAACCGCCACUGGAACUUUUCCAAAAUAGCUAUGGCGGGUGCCUCACAAGCCCGUCACUAAUUUUAUUAGGGAACGUUACAUGAAAAACAAAAAAAAAUCUACGAUUCAUCCAUGAUCUAAUCUAUGAGAUGCUAGCAACGAGAGAGAGUGUGUCUACAUACCCCUUAUAGAUUGAAAGAGGAAACGUUCAAUGAAAGUACUUGAUGUAGUUGUAUUCUUCAUGAUCCAAUCCGAUUGAGUGCCGCACAAACGUCACCUCCGGGUUAAGCACACAUACGACUCGAUGAUGUCUCCUCCUUCUUGAUCCAGUAAGCGAGGGGACAGGUAGACGGGAUUUCUAGGCCAGCACGACGGCGUGGUGGUGGUGGAGGAGGACUUUCUGCAGAGCUUCUCCAAGCUGCUGUGGUGGGGGAAGUGAAGGGAGAGAAAGGCGGCGGCGGCCAGGUGCAUGGGUGGUGCACCCAGUCCUUCUCCUCCCUUUUAUAUAGGGGGUGCGGCCACCUUGACCCCUCCUCCAAGCCAGGGGGCAUCGCCCCCCACCAAGCCUAGGGGGUCGCAGCCCCCCUCUAAGCAAGGGGGCGGCGCCCCCCUCCAAGUCAAGGGGGCCGCGACCCCCGGCCCCUUAUCUUUUAGGGUUUACCCCCUAGGCGUGGGCCCUUGGGGGGCUGGUGCACCUGGCCCAUGUAGGCCAGGGCGCCCCCUCAGCCUAUGCAGGCCUCCGGGAUAGGCGGGACACACUGGUGGACCCCCGGAACCCUCCGGAACUCCCCAAUACAAAUACCGGAAAAGCCGAACUUUUUCCAAACCCUGAAAAACACUUUCCUUAUAUGAAAAUUUACCUCACGACUAUUCUGAAGCUCCUCAUGAUGUCCCGGAUCUCAUCCGAGACUCCAAACUACCUCCAGACUCGCCAUUAUGAAUAUCCCAAUACUACACUAGCAUUGCCGAACGUUAAGUGUUUGACCCUACGGGUUCGAGAAUAUGCAGACAUGACCGAGACACCUCUCCGAUCAAUAAUCAAUAACGGGACCUGGAUGCCCAUAAUGACUCCCAGAUAUUCAACAAAGAUCUUUAUCAGUUUGAACCACGAUGUCAAUGAUUCAGAUAAUCCUGUAUACAAUUCCCUUUAUCUCUCGAUAUUUUACUUGCCCGAGAUUCGACCGUCGGUAUCGCCGUACCUAGUUCAACCUUGUUACCGGCAAGUCUCUUUACUCGUUCCGUAAUACAAUAUCCCUGUGACUAAACACAUUAGUCACAUGCUUGCAAGCUACUUAGGAUGUCGUAUUACCGAGAGGGCCCAGAGAUAUCUCUCCGUCACAUGGAGUGAAAAAUCUCAAUCUCGAUCCAUGCAACCCAAUAAAUACUUUUCGAGAUACCUGAAGAGCACCUUUAUGAUCACGCAGUUAUGAAGUGUCGUUUGAUACCCACAAAGCAUUCUUCUGGUAUUAGAGAGUCGUACGCUCUCAUGGUCCAAGGAACAGACACUUGACAUUACAAAAUUUGUAGCAAUUAAACUAAGUGAUACGAUCAGAUGCUAAGCUUGUGAUUGUGUCUGUCCAUCACAUCAUUCUCCUAAUGAUGUGAUCAUGUUAUUAAAUGACAACUCAUGACUAUGGUUAGGAAACCUUAACCAUCUUUAAUCAACGAGCUAGUCUAGUAGGGGCUCACUAGGGACACAGUGUUUGUUUAUUUAUCCACACAUGUAUUUGAGUUUCCGGUUAAUAAAAUUAUAGCAUGGAGAAUAAAAAUUUAUCAAGAACAAGGAAAUAUGAUAAUAGCAACUUUAUUAUUGCCUCUAGGGCAUAUUUCCAACAAAUUUGAGCACACCUAUAAACCUUUUCCCAAUGGUGAACCGCAUUGAUCCCCUCUUAAUAACGUGACAUCCAUACUAACUCAAGAACAAAAGGGGUAAAGCUAUGAUUCACUUUGUUGUCACAUACGUCUUGAGCCAUUAGCAUUUUGGCGAGUAUAUGAUCCACAACACGAUGUGUUCAUGGGGACUAAACCUAUAGAUUUACUUAGCAAACAUAUUAGUCCCAUAUAAGUAUAUUGUCAUCAAUAUAAAAAUAUAAUUAAGGGCAUGAUUGCGCUCUCAAUACUCAUCAGUAGAUAGGUCAGACAUGUGAUUAUAGGCUCCACGGCCUUCACGACCACCAGCUCUACCAGCACCACACCCCCUUCCUCUCCCUUGACCAAACUACCUUCCACAUGCAUGCUCCAGAUAGCUUACAUAUCUUUGAAGAUCAGGCUAGACGGUGGAUGGACACCAUCUCCAUGCCAUUUGAACAUAUUACCAAGCAUUCCACGCACUGCACACCAGUUCGGGAGCCUCUCAUACUUAACUAUAAAGUGAAGGAAAUAUGCCCUAGAAGCAAUAAUAAAGUUGUUAUUUAUAUUUCCUUAUAUCAUGAUAAAUAUUUAUUAUUCAUGCUAGAAUUGUAUUAACCGGAAACUUAGUACAUGUGUGAAUACAUAGACCAACAGAGUGUCACUAGUAUGCCUCUACUUGACUAGCUCGUUAAUCAAAGAUGGUUAAGUUUCCUAGCCAUAGACAUGAGUUGUCAUUUUAUUAACGGGAUCACAUCAUUAGAGAAUGAUGUGAUUGACAAGACCCAUCCGUUAGCUUAGCACGAUGAUCGUUUAGUUUGUUGCUAUUGCUUUCUUCAUGACUUACAUGUUCCUAUGACUAUGAGAUUAUGCAACUCCCGAAUACCGGAGGAACACUUAGUGUGCUAUCAAAUGUCACAACGUAACUGGGUGAUUAUAAAGAUGCUCUACAGGUGUCUCCGAUGGUGUUUGUUGAGUUGGCAUAGAUCGAGAUUAGGAUUUGUCGCUCCGAUUGUCGGAGAGGUAUCUCUGGGCCCUCUCGGUAAUGCACAUCACUAUAAGCCUUGCAAGCAAUGUGACUAAUGAGUUAGUUACGGGAUGAUGCAUUAUGGAACGAGUAAAGAGACUUGCCGGUAACGAGAUUGAACUAGGUAUUGAGGCACCGACGAUCGAAUCUCGCGCAAGUAACAUACUGAUGACAAAGGGAACAACGUAUGUUGUUAUGCGGUUUGACCGAUAAAGAUCUUCGUAGAAUAUGUGGGAGCCAAUAUGAACAUCCAGGUUCCGCUAUUGGAUAUUGACCGGAGAUGAGUCUCGGUCAUGUCUACAUAGUUCUCGAACCCGUAGGGUCCGCACGCUUAACGUUCGAUGAUGAUCGGUAUUAUGAGUUUAUGUGUUUUGAUGUACCGAAGGUUGUUCGGAGUCCCGGAUGUGAUCUUGGACAUGACGAGGAGUCUCGAAAUGGUCGAGACAUAAAUAUCGAUAUAUUGGAAGGCUAUGUUUGGACACCAGAAUGGUUCCGGAUGAGUUCGGGCAUUUUCCGGAGUACCGGGAGGUUACCGGAACCCCCGGGGAGUCAAUGGGCCUUAUUGGGCCUUAGUGGAAGAGAGGAGGAGGCGGCCAGGUGGAGGGCGCUGUUGGGGAACGUAGUAUUUCAAAAAAAUUGCCUGCGAUCACGCAAGAUCUAUCUAGGAGAAGCAUCGCAACGAGCGGGGAGAGUGUGUCCACAUACCCUCGUAGACCGAAAGCGGAAGCGUUUAGUAACGCGGUUGAUGUAGUCGAACGUCUUCGCGAUCCAACCGAUCCAAGUACCGAACGCAUGGCACCUCCGUGAUCUACACACGUUCAGCUCGGUGAUGUCCCUCGAACUCUUGAUCCAGUUGAGGCCGAGGGAGAGUUUCGUCAGCACGACGGCGUGGUGACGGUGAUGAUGAAGUUACCGGCGCAGGGCUUCGCCUAAGUACUACGACGAUAUGACUGAGGUGUAAAACUGUGGAGGGGGCACCACA